ACAAAGUGGAGGCCAGAACCCAUUAGAAAAACGGCACGGAACCGAAAAGUGAUAUGAGUAGGACAAAA
Non-coding RNA from Psychroflexus torquis ATCC 700755, 68 nucleotides. Lineage: Bacteria; Pseudomonadati; Bacteroidota; Flavobacteriia; Flavobacteriales; Flavobacteriaceae. The record is from Rfam.